Pelobates cultripes (western spadefoot toad) is the source of this 260-nucleotide non-coding RNA. The record is from the annotation of a GenBank genome assembly. NCBI's taxonomy places the organism in Eukaryota, Metazoa, Chordata, Amphibia, Anura, Pelobatidae.
CUCACACACAGAUACACACACUGGCACAUACAAAAACAGAUACACACACCUUGAUACACAGACACUCACUGGCACAUACAAAGACACAUACACACAUUGACACACAGACGCACACCAGCACAUACAAAAAAAGGUUUAUGCAACUGCACAAUUUUUUUUUUAAUGGGUGUUGAUACACUAUGUCAAAGGGUUCCAUGGGAAAAAUUAAUUGGGAACCCCUGCCAUAUAGGACUAAUAGGUUUCUCUCCAUGGGGUCUUGG